AUAAUGGGUCAGCGACUUAUAUUCUGUAGCAAGGUUAACCGAAUAGGGGAGCCGAAGGGAAACCGAGUCUUAACUGGGCGUUAAGUUGCAGGGUAUAGACCCGAAACCCGGUGAUCUAGCCAUGGGCAGGUUGAAGGUUGGGUAACACUAACUGGAGGACCGAACCGACUAAUGUUGAAAAAUUAGCGGAUGACUUGUGGCUGGGGGUGAAAGGCCAAUCAAACCGGGAGAUAGCUGGUUCUCCCCGAAAGCUAUUUAGGUAGCGCCUCGUGAAUUCAUCUCCGGGGGUAGAGCACUGUUUCGGCAAGGGGGUCAUCCCGACUUACCAACCCGAUGCAAACUGCGAAUACCGGAGAAUGUUAUCACGGGAGACACACGGCGGGUGCUAACGUCCGUCGUGAAGAGGGAAACAACCCAGACCGCCAGCUAAGGUCCCAAAGUCAUGGUUAAGUGGGAAACGAUGUGGGAAGGCCCAGACAGCCAGGAUGUUGGCUUAGAAGCAGCCAUCAUUUAAAGAAAGCGUAAUAGCUCACUGGUCGAGUCGGCCUGCGCGGAAGAUGUAACGGGGCUAAACCAUGCACCGAAGCUGCGGCAGCGACGCUGAUGCGUUGUUGGGUAGGGGAGCGUUCUGUAAGCCUGUGAAGGUGUGCUGUGAGGCAUGCUGGAGGUAUCAGAAGU
RNAcentral lists this ribosomal RNA (678 nucleotides) under Escherichia coli. RNAcentral's name for it is "partial 23S ribosomal RNA". It matches the Rfam family "Bacterial large subunit ribosomal RNA", at positions 612 to 1289 of the family's 2925-position model. The record is from RNAcentral. Lineage: Bacteria; Pseudomonadati; Pseudomonadota; Gammaproteobacteria; Enterobacterales; Enterobacteriaceae.